Molecule: ribosomal RNA, 496 nt
Filed under: uncultured bacterium
Lineage: Bacteria
Description: partial 16S ribosomal RNA
Rfam family: Bacterial small subunit ribosomal RNA
Source: RNAcentral
GAUGAACGCUGGCGGCGUGCCUAAUACAUGCAAGUCGAGCGAACGGACGAGAAGCUUGCUUCUCUGAUGUUAGCGGCGGACGGGUGAGUAACACGUGGAUAACCUACCUAUAAGACUGGGAUAACUUCGGGAAACCGGAGCUAAUACCGGAUAAUAUUAUGAACCGCAUGGUUCAAAAGUGAAAGACGGUCUUGCUGUCACUUAUAGAUGGAUCCGCGCUGCAUUAGCUAGUUGGUAAGGUAACGGCUCACCAAGGCAACGAUGCAUAGCCGACCUGAGAGGGUGAUCGGCCACACUGGAACUGAGACACGGUCCAGACUCCUACGGGAGGCAGCAGUAGGGAAUCUUCCGCAAUGGGCGAAAGCCUGACGGAGCAACGCCGCGUGAGUGAUGAAGGUCUUCGGAUCGUAAAACUCUGUUAUUAGGGAAGAACAUAUGUGUAAGUAACUGUGCACAUCUUGACGGUACCUAUCAGAAAGCCACGGCUAACUACGUG